RNAcentral lists this microRNA precursor (103 nucleotides) under Marmota monax (woodchuck). The record is from RNAcentral. Lineage: Eukaryota; Metazoa; Chordata; Mammalia; Rodentia; Sciuridae.
AGUGAGAUACCUGGGUCAAAUGGUGGUUCUAUUCCUAGUGUUUUGAGGAAUCUCCAUACUGCUUUCCAUAGUGGUUGCACCAAUUUGCAGUCCCACCAGUAAU